UGAGAAGGCUUGAAACAUACUAGCAAUAGACGGAUCCAUGUGCAUACCUUGUACUUUAGAAGAACCCCUACCAGAAACUCCUCCCAAAGAUCCUUCAAAAUUUUUAUUUUCGUUCUCCAUAAAAAUAAAAAUAAAAUCAAACAAAAUCUAAUACCUUCUACCUCAAGAUUUCACGUCGGGUUCACCACUUGUGUCAUAUUACGUGCUUUCUUGCUCGAGAACGCGUCGGGCAUCUGGCUUUAGAAGGUAGUAUGGAGAUUUGCUAAUAUUUAAGCAGUCUAUCAGUUUUUGACUGUUGGAAUAUAAAUAAUUGUAAGAAUAUA
This 323-nucleotide long non-coding RNA is filed under the name Physcomitrium patens. Its description in RNAcentral is "long non-coding RNA (PPAT_LNC011058)". Lineage: Eukaryota; Viridiplantae; Streptophyta; Bryopsida; Funariales; Funariaceae. The record is from RNAcentral.